CCCACCUAGGGAUCUUGUUAAAAUGUGGAUUCUGAUUCGGUAGGGGCCCAAGAGUCUGCAUUCCUAACAAGCUCCCAGGUGAAGCCGA
Molecule: microRNA precursor, 88 nt
Filed under: Camelus bactrianus (Bactrian camel)
Lineage: Eukaryota; Metazoa; Chordata; Mammalia; Artiodactyla; Camelidae
Also listed under: 2 other names
Description: mir-544 microRNA precursor family
Rfam family: mir-544 microRNA precursor family
Source: Rfam by way of RNAcentral